Molecule: ribosomal RNA, 260 nt
Filed under: uncultured bacterium
Lineage: Bacteria
Description: partial 16S ribosomal RNA
Rfam family: Bacterial small subunit ribosomal RNA
Source: RNAcentral
GUCCACGCCCUAACGAUGGAUACUAAGUGUCGGCGGGUUACCGCCGGUGCCGCAGCUAACGCAUUAAGUAUCCCGCCUGGGGAGUACGGCCGCAAGGUUGAACUCAAAGGAAUUGACGGGGCCCGCACAAGCGGUGGAGCAUGUGGUUCAAUUCGACGCAACGCGAAGAACCUUACCCAGGCUGGACAAGCAGGUAGUAAGAACCUGAAAGGGCAAUGAGGUAGCAAUACCAUCCUGCUCAGGUGCUGCAUGGCUGUCGU